RNAcentral lists this ribosomal RNA (1372 nucleotides) under uncultured bacterium. RNAcentral describes it as "bacterial SSU rRNA". It matches the Rfam family "Bacterial small subunit ribosomal RNA", at positions 28 to 1381 of the family's 1533-position model. The record is from RNAcentral.
GAUGAACGCUGGCGGCGUGCCUAAUACAUGCAAGUCGAGCGAACGGACGAGAAGCUUGCUUCUCUGAUGUUAGCGGCGGACGGGUGAGUAACACGUGGAUAACCUACCUAUAAGACUGGGAUAACUUCGGGAAACCGGAGCUAAUACCGGAUAAUAUUUUGAACCGCAUGGUUCAAAAGUGAAAGACGGUCUUGCUGUCACUUAUAGAUGGAUCCGCGCUGCAUUAGCUAGUUGGUAAGGUAACGGCUUACCAAGGCAACGAUGCAUAGCCGACCUGAGAGGGUGAUCGGCCACACUGGAACUGAGACACGGUCCAGACUCCUACGGGAGGCAGCAGCAGGGAAUCUUCCGCAAUGGGCGAAAGCCUGACGGAGCAACGCCGCGUGAGUGAUGAAGGUCUUCGGAUCGUAAAACUCUGUUAUUAGGGAAGAACAUAUGUGUAAGUAACUGUGCACAUCUUGACGGUACCUAAUCAGAAAGCCACGGCUAACUACGUGCCAGCAGCCGCGGUAAUACGUAGGUGGCAAGCGUUAUCCGGAAUUAUUGGGCGUAAAGCGCGCGUAGGCGGUUUUUUAAGUCUGAUGUGAAAGCCCACGGCUCAACCGUGGAGGGUCAUUGGAAACUGGAAAACUUGAGUGCAGAAGAGGAAAGUGGAAUUCCAUGUGUAGCGGUGAAAUGCGCAGAGAUAUGGAGGAACACCAGUGGCGAAGGCGACUUUCUGGUCUGUAACUGACGCUGAUGUGCGAAAGCGUGGGGAUCAAACAGGAUUAGAUACCCUGGUAGUCCACGCCGUAAACGAUGAGUGCUAAGUGUUAGGGGGUUUCCGCCCCUUAGUGCUGCAGCUAACGCAUUAAGCACUCCGCCUGGGGAGUACGACCGCAAGGUUGAAACUCAAAGGAAUUGACGGGGACCCGCACAAGCGGUGGAGCAUGUGGUUUAAUUCGAAGCAACGCGAAGAACCUUACCAAAUCUUGACAUCCUUUGACAACUCUAGAGAUAGAGCUUUCCCCUUCGGGGGACAAAGUGACAGGUGGUGCAUGGUUGUCGUCAGCUCGUGUCGUGAGAUGUUGGGUUAAGUCCCGCAACGAGCGCAACCCUUAAGCUUAGUUGCCAUCAUUAAGUUGGGCACUCUAAGUUGACUGCCGGUGACAAACCGGAGGAAGGUGGGGAUGACGUCAAAUCAUCAUGCCCCUUAUGAUUUGGGCUACACACGUGCUACAAUGGACAAUACAAAGGGCAGCGAAACCGUGAGGUCAAGCAAAUCCCAUAAAGUUGUUCUCAGUUCGGAUUGUAGUCUGCAACUCGACUACAUGAAGCUGGAAUCGCUAGUAAUCGUAGAUCAGCAUGCUACGGUGAAUACGUUCCCGGGUCU